This 292-nucleotide ribosomal RNA is filed under the name uncultured bacterium. Its description in RNAcentral is "partial 16S ribosomal RNA". It matches the Rfam family "Bacterial small subunit ribosomal RNA", at positions 505 to 796 of the family's 1533-position model. The record is from RNAcentral.
GUGCCAGCCGCCGCGGUAAGACGAAGGAUGCAAGCGUUAUCCGGAUUCAUUGGGUUUAAAGGGUGCGUAGGCGGACUGAUAAGUCAGUGGUGAAAUCUCUCAGCUUAACUGAGAAACUGCCAUUGAUACUGUUAGUCUAGAGUAUAGAUGACGUUGGCGGAAUAUGACAUGUAGUGGUGAAAUACUUAGAUAUGUCAUAGAACACCGAUUGCGAAGGCAGCUAACGAAACUAUAACUGACGCUGAGGCACGAAAGUGCGGGGAUCAAACAGGAUUAGAAACCCGUGUAGUCC